Molecule: ribosomal RNA, 292 nt
Filed under: uncultured Planctomycetota bacterium
Lineage: Bacteria; Pseudomonadati; Planctomycetota
Description: uncultured planctomycete partial 16S ribosomal RNA
Source: RNAcentral
GGACUACCGGGGUUUCUAAUCCCGUUCGCUCCCCUGGCUUUCGCGCCUCAGCGUCAGAUGGGGUCCAGCGGGCCGCCUUCGCCACCGGAGUUCCUCUGCAUAUCAACGCAUUUCACCGCUCCACGCAGAGUUCCGCCCGCCCCUACCCCCCUCAAGGCCGCCCGUAUCCGAGGCCGUUUCACGGUUAAGCCGUGGAAUUUCACCCCGGACGCGGCAACCCGCCUACGCGCCCUUUAAGCCCAGUGAUUCCGAACAACGUUCGCACGGUUCGUCUUACCGCGGCUGCUGGCAC